This 441-nucleotide ribosomal RNA is filed under the name uncultured bacterium. RNAcentral describes it as "partial 16S ribosomal RNA". It matches the Rfam family "Bacterial small subunit ribosomal RNA", at positions 338 to 795 of the family's 1533-position model. The record is from RNAcentral.
CCUACGGGAGGCUGCAGUGGGGAAUAUUGGGCAAUGGAGGAAACUCUGACCCAGCAACGCCGCGUGAAGGAUGAAGGUUUUCGGAUUGUAAACUUCUGUCGCGAGGGAUGAAGAAUGACGGUAUCUCGCAAGAAAGCACCGGCAAACUACGUGCCAGCAGCCGCGGUAAUACGUAGGGGGCGAGCGUGGUCUGGAAUGACUGGGCGUAAAGGGAGUGUAGGCGACAUAUUAAGUUAUGUGUGAAAGCCCGCGGCUCAACCGCGGAAUUGCAAAUAAAACUGGUAAGGUUGAGUGCAGGAGAGGUAAGUGGAAUGCGCGGUGUAGCGGUGGAAUGCGUAGAUAUCGCGAGGAAGACCGGAGGCGAAGGCGACUUACUGGACUGUAACUGACGCUGAGGCUCGAAAGCGUGGGGAGCAAACAGGAUUAGAUACCCCAGUAGUC